UUACAAAAAAGACCGAUAUUAAUUAAGGCUUAGUUUGGUAUUAAGGCCCAUCUAACGGUAUUAGGCAAAGUAUAUAGGAAUAGGCUUCUGUGUUCUCCGGUGAGACCAUAGAAAAUAUAUUGUAAUUUACUAAUCGCGAUAUGUAGAAUGUAAUAUUACGUACGAAAACAAGUAUGGUAUUUUCACAUCGUACUUUCUCACCGAGUGUAAUGUAAUUUCUCUACAAUUCCAAACGAAGCCUAAGAAGGUUCGAGUCGAAAAAUAUUAAAGUUGAGGGUCCCAUUCCAAAGUGCCCUAUAGUUGAGGGAAUCUCCAUACAUUCUCACCUAAUAAAAAAUAAAUAAAGAUUAGGAACGGCUUAGAAUUAAAUGGCUUAGUUAUUAACUAAGUUGGGCGUGAUAUGUUGGUUCUUAAUUAGAGCACGUCUCUUUGCGUUGCAUAAAGUAAAUUAAAACAAAAUUGAAUUGGGAUCUGCCCCUGCACAUAGAAAGUAUAUAGUUAUCAUCUGAGGCAGUUCUUUGACUUUUAUUUCGUAAUAUUUUUUUUGGGCAAAGAGAAUGACUCUCCAUCUGAAGUAACUUGGGAAUAUGCUGUGAGUUGCUCGUACAAAUACCUGAAAUUAAUAGAAUAUAUGUUGAUGAACAACUAAAGUGGUGUGAGUGCAUAUUUGGAGUGCUCAAAGAGAAAAUAAUGGAAGGAACUAUGCAACAUUAGUGGGGGAGAGUUUUGACAUGCUCACGCAUUUUACGUGUGCGGAUCGCGAUAUGUAGAAUGUAAUACUAUGUACGAAAACAAACAUGCUAUUUUCAUAUCGUACUUUCUCACUGAAUGUAAUGUAAUCUCUCUGCAAUUCCAAACGAAGCCUAAGAAGGUUCGAGUCGAAAAAUAUUAAAGUUGAGG
This 900-nucleotide long non-coding RNA is filed under the name Ananas comosus (pineapple). RNAcentral describes it as "long non-coding RNA (ACOM_LNC006022)". The record is from RNAcentral. Lineage: Eukaryota; Viridiplantae; Streptophyta; Magnoliopsida; Poales; Bromeliaceae.